This 492-nucleotide ribosomal RNA is filed under the name uncultured bacterium. RNAcentral's name for it is "partial 16S ribosomal RNA". It matches the Rfam family "Bacterial small subunit ribosomal RNA", at positions 29 to 507 of the family's 1533-position model. The record is from RNAcentral.
AGUGAACGCUGGCGGUAGGCCUAACACAUGCAAGUCGAACGGCAGCACAGUAAGAGCUUGCUCUUACGGGUGGCGAGUGGCGGACGGGUGAGGAAUACAUCGGAAUCUACUUUUUCGCGGGGGAUAACGUAGGGAAACUUACGCUAAUACCGCAUACGACCUACGGGUGAAAGCAGGGGAUCUUCGGACCUUGCGCGAUUGAAUGAGCCGAUGUCGGAUUAGCUAGUUGGCGGGGUAAAGGCCCACCAAGGCGACGAUCCGUAGCUGGUCUGAGAGGAUGAUCAGCCACACUGGAACUGAGACACGGUCCAGACUCCUACGGGAGGCAGCAGUGGGGAAUAUUGGACAAUGGGCGCAAGCCUGAUCCAGCCAUACCGCGUGGGUGAAGAAGGCCUUCGGGUUGUAAAGCCCUUUUGUUGGGAAAGAGAAGCAGCAGGUUAAUACCCCGCUGUUCUGACGGUACCCAAAGAAUAAGCACCGGCUAACUUCGUG